UGUGGCGGCCUGGCGUCUGUCUGUGUCCCGUUAGGGGUGAGUGUGGACCUGCGUUUCUUCGGAACCUUAGCAGAAGCUCGGCCUUGCGUAUCCGAAACCGCAAAUUCAUUGCCUAACAUGGAACUACCUGGUACCUGGAAACCUGGAACUUGCUUUUUCAAACCCACCUUUCUCGCCAUGCUCUCCAUUCCUCCCUGCUGCUGUCUUGCCGUAUAUCCUCUCUCGGGUCCUCCCAAAAGGUUUAGGAGUUUUGUGCAGGAAGAUAAUACACAAUUUCUGUUUUCUGCCCUACAAUACGACUCCUUCGGAACCACGUUAAGAUCCCUUUUUAAAAAUCCCACCUGAAAGGCUUUAAAACAAUGAUUGCUGCUGUUGUCAUAAUGUGAGAAUUCGUUUUUCCAUAAUUUUUCUGAUCAAGUACAGGCUUCUCAAGCUGCAGUAUGCAUGCACAACCCCAAAUCUGUGCAGAGAGGAUGCAAAACAGCAGACUCCGUGGUACAACUUUCUGGAGCAUCAAUUUUUCUGUAGGAUUUGGAACAACCGAAGUUACAUAAUUUACAAGAAUUUCUCACCGUGCUAUCACCUAUGACCCAGCUUGAGAAACACAGCCUCCUACGUGGACACAAAGCCCUGAGCUCAAUGGUGCUGCCUGUGUACAAGCUGCAUCAGAUAACAUCUCCUGCCCCUACGCUUCUCUCUGAACUCAGAUGGGAGACCCUGCAUCCUCUGUGGGAGCCAAAACUACCACCUUGAGAAUCAAGAGCUGCCUGAGCCAGGAAGACCCCCGUGACUGACCCCAUGGCCACAACGACCUGACCUUCAUGGCCCACAUGCACAAACACACUCACCUCUGUCUGACAUCCUCCUGACUUAAACCUGGAAGGAUCAUCAGCACUUUGGAGACAGACUUUGAGAUGCUAGUCCAUGUCCUCCUGGUGUUGGUCUCAUGGAAAUAAAUUCCUUGUUUCAUGACACCUCAUCUCUCUGCCUGUGGAUUUUGUCAGCAGCAAGUGGCCCUUCCUGGUCCAUCUGGGACCUGAAGCCAGGCACAGUCCCCAUCCCCAUCCCCAUAGAAUAUAACUGGUCAUUUUUCAGAACCCCAGUUCAUCUCUUUCCACCCAUGGGUCCUGUCCUGGGCUUUAAUAAAAUCACCUUUUUGCACCAAA
Suricata suricatta (meerkat) is the source of this 1166-nucleotide long non-coding RNA. RefSeq lists it as uncharacterized. The transcript has 3 exons. The record is from RefSeq and is a predicted model, not a curated record. NCBI's taxonomy places the organism in Eukaryota, Metazoa, Chordata, Mammalia, Carnivora, Herpestidae.